RNAcentral lists this ribosomal RNA (160 nucleotides) under uncultured bacterium. RNAcentral's name for it is "partial 16S ribosomal RNA". It matches the Rfam family "Bacterial small subunit ribosomal RNA", at positions 355 to 507 of the family's 1533-position model. The record is from RNAcentral.
UGGGGAAUAUUGGACAAUGGGCGCAAGCCUGAUCCAGCCAUGCCGCGUGUGUGAAGAAGGUCUUCGGAUUGUAAAGCACUUUAAGUUGGGAGGAAGGGCAGUAAGUUAAUACCUUGCUGUUUUGACGUUACCGACAGAAUAAGCACCGGCUAACUCUGUG